Molecule: long non-coding RNA, 720 nt
Organism: Triticum aestivum (bread wheat)
Lineage: Eukaryota; Viridiplantae; Streptophyta; Magnoliopsida; Poales; Poaceae
Exons: 2
Source: RefSeq, a predicted model, not a curated record
AAGCGAAGGAAGAUGAACAGUGCUCAGCUGGUUUAAUGAUAUGCCAGGCCCGAGCUUUCCUCCCCAACCACCCCCAUAUCCAAACCCAUCCAGUUCUUCUUCCAGAUUUCCGCUGGGCGCCCAAAGUUUCUUUGCGUGGUGCUGUCCCCGAAGAUUUCCACCAUAGCUAGUCUGGAGGAGACAAGCGGACCAUGGAAUUCCUUGGCGACGCUGAACUAUCAGGAUGCGCACAAAGCCUUGUUCCGCCCCCCUCUGCUGAAUCAAGGAGGACCGCCGGUGAGAUAGAACAAAAUGGCUAAGUGUCAUCAGGAUUCAUGUCCAGGCUAGGGAUGCUAGAGAGAACUGGUGCUCCGUUGGAGAAGCAUGUUCAGGCCCCAGUACGCGGCGCAAGAGCGGUAGUGUUCGAGAGCUCUGGCGCCCAAGGAUCUGCUUCGUCUCAGGCUAGUGCAGAUGACGCUGUUGUGGGGGAUUCUGGAGGCAAAGAUGAGGUCGCUGAGGCAACAUCUGGAUGGACUAGAAGGUACGUACUUGCAAAAAUUAGUCAUUCACAGUUACCAAAUAAAACACAGUUACCAAAUAAUGUAUGUGGGUUGAAUGUUGAUAAGAAUAUACAUGCAUUUCCCCUCCGUUGGUUAGUAUUCUGUGUGUUUGUUAAUUGCUGAAAAUGUUGGUGGCUCAUUCAACAAAGGUUUCUGCUGGUUAAUUUAUAUUUUUAUAACA